RNAcentral lists this ribosomal RNA (372 nucleotides) under uncultured organism. RNAcentral's name for it is "partial 16S ribosomal RNA". It matches the Rfam family "Bacterial small subunit ribosomal RNA", at positions 527 to 896 of the family's 1533-position model. The record is from RNAcentral.
GUAGGUGGCAAGCGUUGUCCGGAAUUAUUGGGCGUAAAGCGCGCGCAGGCGGUUCUUUAAGUCUGAUGUGAAAGCCCACGGGCUCAACCGUGGAGGGUCAUUGGAAACUGGAGAACUUGAGUACAGAAGAGGAAAGCGGAAUUCCACGUGUAGCGGUGAAAUGCGUAGAGAUGUGGAGGAACACCAGUGGCGAAGGCGGCUUUCUGGUCUGUAACUGACGCUGAGGCGCGAAAGCGUGGGGAGCAAACAGGAUUAGACACCCUGGUAGUCCACGCCGUAAACGAUGAGUGCUAAGUGUUAGGGGGUUUCCGCCCCUUAGUGCUGCAGCUAACGCAUUAAGCACUCCGCCUGGGGAGUACGGCCGCAAGGCUG